Molecule: ribosomal RNA, 235 nt
Filed under: uncultured Actinomycetales bacterium
Lineage: Bacteria; Bacillati; Actinomycetota; Actinomycetes; Actinomycetales
Description: partial 16S ribosomal RNA
Rfam family: Bacterial small subunit ribosomal RNA
Source: RNAcentral
UGGCGAACGGGUGAGUAACACGUGGGUAAUCUGCCCUGCACUCUGGGAUAAGCCUGGGAAACUGGGUCUAAUACUGGAUAUGACCAUGCUUUAGUGUGUGUGGUGGAAAGUUUUUUCGGUGUAGGAUGAGCCCGCGGCCUAUCAGCUUGUUGGUGGGGUAAUGGCCUACCAAGGCGGCGACGGGUAGCCGGACUGAGAGGUUGGUCGGCCACAUUGGGACUGAGAUACGGCCCAG